RNAcentral lists this ribosomal RNA (468 nucleotides) under uncultured bacterium. Its description in RNAcentral is "partial 16S ribosomal RNA". It matches the Rfam family "Bacterial small subunit ribosomal RNA", at positions 28 to 507 of the family's 1533-position model. The record is from RNAcentral.
GACGAACGCUGGCGGCGUGCUUAACACAUGCAAGUCGAACGGAAAGGCCCUGCUUUUGUGGGGUGCUCGAGUGGCGAACGGGUGAGUAACACGUGAGUAACCUGCCCUUGACUUUGGGAUAACUUCAGGAAACUGGGGCGAAUACCGGAUAGGAGCUCCUGCUGCAUGGUGGGGGUUGGAGAGUGUCGGCGGUUGGGGAUGGACUGGCGGGUUAUCAGCUGGUUGGUGGGGUAGUGGCUGACCACGGCUGUGACGGGUAGCCGGCCUGGGAGGGUGACCGGCCACAUGAGGCCUGAGAUACGGCCCAGACUCCUACGGGCGGCAGCAGUCGCGAAUCUUGCACAAUGGGCGGAAGCCUGAUGCAGCAACGCCGCGUGCGGGAUGACGGCCUUCGGGUUGUAAACCGCUUUCGCCUGUGACGAAGCGUGAGUGACGGUAAUGGGUAAAGAAGCACCGGCUAACUACGUG